UUCGUAACGUAAUUUGGACGCUAUGGCUAUGAGCAAAGAAAUUCAAAAAGAUCUUGUAUCGUUCCUUAGGUCACAAGAAAGAAGUGACAGAUUAAACGAAAAAAAAGGCGUGAUCGUAUAUUAAGUGCCUCCGCGGGAACAGGAAUGCGAUUACGUGGUCUUUAUCAAAAGAAAAAACCACUCCUUCAGUUUCGAAUCAAAAGAAGAAAAGUGAUACUGAAGUGACAGCAGAACCAUCAUGCACUUCAACCGUAAAUAUUCCAAAUACGUUGAACGGCUCUUUACUUGAGUCUCAGUCUAGUAUACCAUCAGCAGUUGACAAUGUUGCUGAAGAUCGUUAUAAUCAUGUUAAUGAAAAGUAAACUUCAUUGAAAGCCAAGAGUCUUACAUUGCAGAGGAAGCCGAAGAAAGUUUGAAUCCUAAAUCAGACUGGACUCACAGAGUGAGUGAAAUCCACCAAGACUGGGCAUCUGUUAAGCAGAAUUUUCUUGAAGCUUUCGUCUCUUCACAACGUUUUGUAGCUUCUUGGUGUGCUGAUUGCCAAGAUCCAGUCUUGCAGCACUACAUUUGCUGUAGCAGUUGUCGAAAGAAGAGAUGUGAAAAAUGUGAUCAACUAUUUCACAAAUCAGAACCAUUUCACCUGCGUACCAUGUACAAUGAAGAUACUUCCAUGAUUCUCAAGCCAGAAGAAUUUAUCUCGUGUGGUGAUGUUGUGACUUAAGAUAUCCCAGUUCCUUGCUUCUCAGCCUUAUUUGAUUGCAAGAAGUGUAAGUGUUUAAUAGCUUAUACAGUUACAGCUGGUAAAAAGAGAGUAGUGAUCAUUACAAAAGACGGCAGAUUUGAUCUUCAUUUCCCACAGUUCACUUGUGCUGAAUGUGGCGAGCAACAAUGUGCCAAUGAGGCAGAUUUUGUCGGAGUUCACAAACAAUCGAGCCAUCAACAAAUUACUAAAUUUUGUUUUGGAAGUCUGUGAUGCAUGAACGAAUAAUCUAUUACAUACACAUAUUUAACUGAA
Long non-coding RNA from Daphnia pulicaria, 1015 nucleotides. RefSeq lists it as uncharacterized. The transcript is spliced from 3 exons. NCBI's taxonomy places the organism in Eukaryota, Metazoa, Arthropoda, Branchiopoda, Diplostraca, Daphniidae. The record is from RefSeq and is a predicted model, not a curated record.